GUAUUAAAUGCGUUUUAUCGCGGUUUUACAUUCGAAACGUAUAGAGUGUGUGAAAAUACGUAGAACCAGUCGAAGCGUGGCGAGACGCUUCUCCCGGAACUACAGAAGGUGCACAGGUGUGAGAUGGAUGAGCAAGGCGUGCACAUGCCUCGGAAGGCCAGCGACAACCUCUUUCAAACUCGAUAAUGAUCCUUCCGCAGGUUCACCUACGGAAA
Molecule: unclassified non-coding RNA, 215 nt
Filed under: uncultured fungus
Lineage: Eukaryota; Fungi
Description: sequence contains ITS1
Source: RNAcentral